UACGUAGGGUGCAAGCGUUGUCCGGAAUUAUUGGGCGUAAAGAGCUCGUAGGCGGUCUGUCGCGUCGGAUGUGAAAACCCAGGGCUCAACCCUGGGCCUGCAUUCGAUACGGGGCAGACUAGAAUGUUCGGUGAGGGGAGACUGGAAUUCCUGGGUGUAGCGGUACGGAAAUGCGCAGAUAUCAGGGAGAACACCGGUGGCGAAGGCGGU
This 210-nucleotide ribosomal RNA is filed under the name uncultured bacterium. Its description in RNAcentral is "partial 16S ribosomal RNA". It matches the Rfam family "Bacterial small subunit ribosomal RNA", at positions 524 to 725 of the family's 1533-position model. The record is from RNAcentral.